GUAAGGAAUAUUGCGCAAUGGAGGCAACUCUGACGCAGCCAUGCCGCGUGCAGGAAGAAGGCGCUACGCGUUGUAAACUGCUUUUAACCGGGAAGAAACCCCAGGACGUGUCCUGGGUUGACGGUACCGGAGGAAUAAGCACCGGCUAACUUCGUGCCAGCAGCCGCGGUAAUACGAAGGGUGCAAGCGUUAUCCGGAUUCAUUGGGUUUAAAGGGUGCGUAGGCGGAGCGUUAAGUCAGUGGUGAAAUCCUGCAGCUUAACUGUAGACUUGCCAUUGAUACUGGCGCUCUUGAGUGCGCUUGAAGUGGGCGGAAUGUGCCGUGUAGCGGUGAAAUGCUUAGAUAUGGCACAGAACACCAAUUGCGAAGGCAGCUCACUAAGGCGAUACUGACGCUGAGGCACGAAAGCGUGGGGAUCGAACAGGAUUAGAUACCCCAGUAGUCC
Molecule: ribosomal RNA, 445 nt
Filed under: uncultured bacterium
Lineage: Bacteria
Description: partial 16S ribosomal RNA
Rfam family: Bacterial small subunit ribosomal RNA
Source: RNAcentral